GAUGAACGCUGGCGGCGUGCCUAAUACAUGCAAGUCGAGCGAACAGACGAGGAGCUUGCUCCUCUGACGUUAGCGGCGGACGGGUGAGUAACACGUGGAUAACCUACCUAUAAGACUGGGAUAACUUCGGGAAACCGGAGCUAAUACCGGAUAAUAUAUUGAACCGCAUGGUUCAAUAGUGAAAGACGGUUUUGCUGUCACUUAUAGAUGGAUCCGCGCCGCAUUAGCUAGUUGGUAAGGUAACGGCUUACCAAGGCAACGAUGCGUAGCCGACCUGAGAGGGUGAUCGGCCACACUGGAACUGAGACACGGUCCAGACUACUACGGGAGGCAGCAGUAGGGAAUCUUCGGCAAAGGGCGAAAGCAUGACGGAGCAACGCCGCGUGAGUGAUGAAGGUCUUCGGAUCGUAAAACUCUGUUAUUAGGGAAGAACAAAUGUGUAAGUAACUAUGCACGUCUUGACGGUACCUAAUCAGAAAGCCACGGCUAACUACGUG
This 497-nucleotide ribosomal RNA is filed under the name uncultured bacterium. RNAcentral's name for it is "partial 16S ribosomal RNA". It matches the Rfam family "Bacterial small subunit ribosomal RNA", at positions 28 to 507 of the family's 1533-position model. The record is from RNAcentral.